CCUACGGGAGGCUGCAGUGAGGAAUAUUGGUCAAUGGACGAGAGUCUGAACCAGCCAAGCCGCGUGAAGGAUGACUGUACAAUGUGUCGUAAACCUCUUUUAUCUGGGAAUAAAAAGUGGGACGCGUCCCCGGGUGUAUGUACCUUAUGAAAAAGCAUCGGCUAACUCCGUGCCAGCAGCCGCGGUAAUACGGAGGAUGCGCGCGUUAUCCGGAUUUAUUGGGUUUAAAGGGUGCGGAGGCGGUUUGUUAAGUCAGGUGUCAAAGGUCGGGGGUCAAACGCAACACUGCAGUUGAAACUGGCAGUCUUGAGUUGGAGAGAGGUAUGCGGAAUGCGCGGUGUAGCGGUGAAAUGCAUAGAUAUCGCGAAGAACUCCGAUUGCGAAGGCAGUACACUGGAU
RNAcentral lists this ribosomal RNA (399 nucleotides) under uncultured bacterium. RNAcentral's name for it is "partial 16S ribosomal RNA". It matches the Rfam family "Bacterial small subunit ribosomal RNA", at positions 338 to 734 of the family's 1533-position model. The record is from RNAcentral.